Molecule: non-coding RNA, 65 nt
Organism: Dipodomys ordii (Ord's kangaroo rat)
Lineage: Eukaryota; Metazoa; Chordata; Mammalia; Rodentia; Heteromyidae
Source: Rfam
GGUGGCUCAGUGGGAGAGUGCUUGCCUUGCAUGCAUGAGGCCCUGGGUUUGAUUCCUCAGCACCA